This 46-nucleotide ribosomal RNA is filed under the name Stereum hirsutum. RNAcentral describes it as "partial 25S ribosomal RNA". RNAcentral also lists the same sequence under 1 other name. Lineage: Eukaryota; Fungi; Basidiomycota; Agaricomycetes; Russulales; Stereaceae. The record is from RNAcentral.
UUGACCUCAAAUCAGGUGGGACUACCCGCUGAACUUAAGCAUAUCA